RNAcentral lists this ribosomal RNA (519 nucleotides) under Liolaemus azarai. RNAcentral's name for it is "partial large subunit ribosomal RNA". It matches the Rfam family "Bacterial large subunit ribosomal RNA", at positions 1814 to 2609 of the family's 2925-position model. The record is from RNAcentral. Lineage: Eukaryota; Metazoa; Chordata; Lepidosauria; Squamata.
CAUAGCCUUUAGCAAAACAAGUAUUAAAGGUAACGCCUGCCAGUGAACAAUUCAACGGCCGCGGUAUCCUAACCGUGCAAAGGUAGCGUAAUCACUUGUCCUCUAAAUAAGGACCAGUAUGAACGGCUAAAUGAGGGCUAUACUGUCUCCUUUAGUUAAUCAGUGAAACUGAUCUACCAGUACAAAAGCUGGUAUUAAAACAUAAGACGAGAAGACCCUGUGGAGCUUUAAACCUUAUGCCACAACAUAUGGCAAAAAUUUUAAGUUGGGGCGACUUCGGAAAAAAGAUUAACUUCCGAGCAUAAGAACUCUAACUAAGGCUAACAAGCCAAAGCAAAACAUGACCCAGUCAAACUGACUAACGAACCAAGUUACCCCAGGGAUAACAGCGCUAUCUUCUUCAAGAGUUCUUAUCGACAAGAAGGUUUACGACCUCGAUGUUGGAUCAGGACACCCAAAUGGUGCAGCCGCUAUUAAAGGUUCGUUUGUUCAACGAUUAACAGUCCUACGUGAUCUGAG